This 73-nucleotide transfer RNA is filed under the name Podarcis lilfordi (Lilford's wall lizard). RNAcentral describes it as "tRNA.Ala". It matches the Rfam family "tRNA". Rfam says of the family: Transfer RNA (tRNA) molecules are approximately 80 nucleotides in length. Lineage: Eukaryota; Metazoa; Chordata; Lepidosauria; Squamata; Lacertidae. The record is from RNAcentral.
GGGGGCUGUAGCUCAGUGGUAGAGCACAUGUUUUGCAUGCAAAAGGUCCCAGGUUCAAUCCCUGGCAUUUCCA